GCAACUGCCACACGAUAGAUUGCUGUCUGUUGGAACACGAUGGUUCGCAUGUGCUUUCGGCACCAUAGCGCCAGUUAACUUGGUUUUACAUGGCAAAAAAUCUGCUACUAGCGGGACCGGGUUAUGUCUGAUUUCACCACAUGCUCACUGCUUCAACGAGGCACGGCAGUCAUAUAUAGGAUCAUCGGUUGACUGUAAAACUCAAGUCUGGGUUUAUUUACCGUGCACAGGCCGAGCAAAAAGUGAGAAUCAACACUUCAUUCAUCAAAAAGAUUUGUUUCCAUCAAGGCAGGCGUUUGUUACAUACACGCCAAGAGAUAAGUUUAGCACCAUGCCUUGUUCAUCACGCAAUACAGGCUUGGCCUCAUCAGACUGGAAUGAAUUGCUACACAUCACCACGAGCUCAAAUCCAUAUACUUUUUUAAUUGUAGAUGUUCGUACCUUGCCAAGCACAGUCAAAUUUGCCAAUACACAUGAUAUCAGAUUUAAAGUCAGCGGCGAAAAUACACCAGUGAUAGUGAACGUCUCGCCUUCACAAAUAACAUUACAUGGGCAUGCUAUCCUGAGAUUAUUUGGCAGCAACUUUUGGUCCCCCGACGAACACGGAGGGUUGGCACUACUCUAUUG
Molecule: long non-coding RNA, 627 nt
Filed under: Micromonas commoda
Lineage: Eukaryota; Viridiplantae; Chlorophyta; Mamiellophyceae; Mamiellales; Mamiellaceae
Description: long non-coding RNA (MCOM_LNC000073)
Source: RNAcentral